Molecule: long non-coding RNA, 894 nt
Filed under: Jatropha curcas
Lineage: Eukaryota; Viridiplantae; Streptophyta; Magnoliopsida; Malpighiales; Euphorbiaceae
Description: long non-coding RNA (JCUR_LNC002246)
Source: RNAcentral
GACAAAACCAUAGGUCCCAAAACUGCCUUUUUAAUAGCUUGCUUGAACAAUCUCUCUCCUCUAACAUCCUUAGCCCCCAAAAAUGUUUUCACCCAACAAAGGCUUUCAUCUUCUUCCACAGACGCCACUGGGAAGAAGAAUUGCUAUAGUGACACGAAUCCACAAAAUAAGAAAGCCAAGGUAUAUGUAGUUUUCCGCAAAAUUGAAAUUGGGGUUUUUGAUUCUUGGCCAGAGUUCGCAUCUCGAGUAUUAGGCAUUAGCAAUGCCUUGUACAGAUCUUAUGAAAGUAAGGACGAUGUUGUGAAAGCAUAUCGUGUGUUCUUCGAUUUAAUCGUUGCACCUCUAUCAGUUCAAAGGUCAUCAAGGUCGAGUUUAUCCCUAACUGGGUAUGCAGGAGCGAACUUGAAAUCAAGCAUGGCAAUAUCUGAAGGAGGAAUCGAGGAAGAGAUUGAAUAUCCAUUGUCGACCAUUGACAAUACCGAUUGUUACGAAGCUGAAGCGGAAGCAAAGGAUGAAUCUGCAAUUAUAAAUUGUAGGGAGGGAAAGUACUUAAGUUUGAUAGCUGGCUUUUUUGUUGGCAUGUUUUUUGGUAUAUGUAUUUGCAUUUAUAAAUUUUAGUUAAUAUAAUCUACCCGUCUAUGGCUUAAAUCCCAAUGGAGAAGCCAAGAAUGCUGAAAUUAUAUUGCAGUUGAGUUAAAAUUUUACCAGUACAAUAUGAUGAUUUGCUAUUGUCAUCUAGUCAAUGCCUUGCUAAAGUUUCAUGUUGAAAUGACUGUCUGAGUUGCAAUUUAGCUUGAAAUCCAGUUGUUCAAUUAAUCUGUGUUUGAAUCUUUUGAUUAGGAGCAACAUUUGAGCUUUGAAGAAUGAAAAAGGAACCGUGAUACUAGUUCUGAG